RNAcentral lists this ribosomal RNA (275 nucleotides) under Mantidactylus opiparis. RNAcentral's name for it is "partial 16S ribosomal RNA". The record is from RNAcentral. Lineage: Eukaryota; Metazoa; Chordata; Amphibia; Anura; Mantellidae.
CCUAUAAGACGAAAAGACCCCAUGGAGCUUCAAACCCAACUACACCCUUAACUACCACAACCACACAACCUCUUAGGGCCCUGUAUAGUUGGUUUUAGGUUGGGGCGACCACGGAGUACAACCAAACCUCCGCAAUGAACGGGACCACUCCCUUAUCUAAGAGCCACACCUCUAAGAAUUAAAACACUAACAUAAAAUGAUCCACGAUCUGAUCAAUGAACCAAGUUACCCUGGGGAUAACAGCGCAAUCCAUUUCAAGAGCCCCUAUCGACAAG